AUCCUCUCCUGAAGCUAUUUUUUUAGAAAACCUAUCAUUUCUUAAUCUUUUUCAAAUAAAUACAAUCCUCAAUGGUUAUGGUUCAAUUCUGGAUCUUAUAUUAUCCAAUUCUAAUUCUCAUUCUAUAUCAUUAAAUAAGGAUUCUAUAGUUCCAGUAGAUAAUUAUCACCCUCCUAUUAAUGUCAGCUACUCUCUGCUCUACACUCCCUCUCCCCUAUCUUUUUCUGAAGAAACCUAUGACUGGUAUAAGGGAGAUUAUAUUAAUAUUUUAUCUUUCUUUGGUUCAAUAAACUGGAACGAAUUUUUCAAUAUUAGUAAUGAUAUUACAACCAUCACCAAAGAAUUUUAUUCCCUCCAAUUCAAUGCAAUAGACACUUUUAUUCCUAAAAAAAGAUACUGCAAAUCUAAAUUCCCCUGUUGGUUCUCUAAAGACCUAAUAAAUCUAAUCAAAUUAAAAAAAUUCCAAC
This is a non-coding RNA of Cinara cedri, 467 nucleotides long. NCBI's taxonomy places the organism in Eukaryota, Metazoa, Arthropoda, Insecta, Hemiptera, Aphididae. The record is from the annotation of a GenBank genome assembly.